This 253-nucleotide ribosomal RNA is filed under the name uncultured bacterium. Its description in RNAcentral is "partial 16S ribosomal RNA". It matches the Rfam family "Bacterial small subunit ribosomal RNA", at positions 524 to 776 of the family's 1533-position model. The record is from RNAcentral.
UACGUAGGGGGCGAGUGUUGUCCGGAAUUAUUGGGCGUAAAGAGCGUGUAGGCGGUUCGGUAAGUCUGCCGUGAAAACCUGGGGCUCAACCCCGGGCGUGCGGUGGAUACUGCCGGGCUAGAGGGUGGUAGAGGCGAGUGGAAUUCCCGGUGUAGCGGUGAAAUGCGCAGAUAUCGGGAGGAACACCAGUAGCGAAGGCGGCUCGCUGGGCCAUUCCUGACGCUGAGACGCGAAAGCUAGGGGAGCGAACAGG